This 490-nucleotide ribosomal RNA is filed under the name uncultured bacterium. Its description in RNAcentral is "partial 16S ribosomal RNA". It matches the Rfam family "Bacterial small subunit ribosomal RNA", at positions 29 to 507 of the family's 1533-position model. The record is from RNAcentral.
AGUGAACGCUGGCGGUAGGCCUAAGACAUGCAAGUCGAACGGCAGCACAGGAGAGCUUGCUCUCUGGGUGGCGAGUGGCGGACGGGUGAGGAAUACAUCGGAAUCUGCCCAGUCGUGGGGGAUAACGUAGGGAAACUUACGCUAAUACCGCAUACGACCUUCGGGUGAAAGAGGGGGAUCGCAAGACCUCUCGCGAUUGGAUGAGCCGAUGUCGGAUUAGCUAGUUGGCGGGGUAAUGGCCCACCAAGGCGACGAUCCGUAGCUGGUCUGAGAGGAUGAUCAGCCACACUGGAACUGAGACACGGUCCAGACUCCUACGGGAGGCAGCAGUGGGGAAUAUUGGACAAAGGGCGCAAGCCUGAUCCAGCCAUACCGCGUGGGUGAAGAAGGCCUUCGGGUUGUAAAGCCCUUUUGUUGGGAAAGAAAUCUUUCAGGCUAAUACCCUGGGAGGAUGACGGUACCCAAAGAAUAAGCACCGGCUAACUUCGUG